This 68-nucleotide transfer RNA is filed under the name Hippoglossus stenolepis (Pacific halibut). RNAcentral's name for it is "tRNA-Ser". It matches the Rfam family "tRNA". From Rfam's summary of the family: Transfer RNA (tRNA) molecules are approximately 80 nucleotides in length. Their secondary structure includes four short double-helical elements and three loops (D, anti-codon, and T loops). Lineage: Eukaryota; Metazoa; Chordata; Actinopteri; Pleuronectiformes; Pleuronectidae. The record is from RNAcentral.
GCGAUGGUGGUAUAGUGGUGAGCCUGCCUUCCAAGCAGUUGACCUGGGUUCGAUUCCCAGCCAUCGCA